CGCCUCUUGAAUUUUAUAAGAGGUCCAGCCUGCCCAGUGACUCUGUUCAACGGCCGCGGUAUCCUAACCGUGCGAAGGUAGCGUAAUCACUUGUUCUUUAAAUGUGGACUAGUAUGAAUGGCACCACGAAGGUUAUACUGUCUCCUUUUUCUAAUCAGUGAAACUAAUCUCCCCGUGAAGAAGCGGGGAUAAAGCUAUAAGACGAGAAGACCCUAUGGAGCUUUAAACAACAUAGCACUUGCCACACACCAUUAAAAUUCCAGAAUCUUCAAUUCUCUGAGCAAUAUGACUAUAAGUUUUUGGUUGGGGUGACCGCGGAGCAUAACACAACCUCCAUGUUGAAAGAAUCAUUUUCUAAGCUAAGAACUACAACUCUAAGCAUCAACAUAUUGACAUCCAUUGACCCAAUACACUUGAACAACGAACCAAGUUACCCUAGGGAUAACAGCGCAAUCCACUUCAAGAGCUCCUAUCGACAAGUGGGUUUACGACCUCGAUGUUGGAUCAGGGUUUCCCAGUGGUGCAGCCGCUACUAAAGGUUCGUUUGUUCAACGAUUAAAACCCUACG
This 568-nucleotide ribosomal RNA is filed under the name Bufotes sitibundus (variable toad). RNAcentral's name for it is "partial 16S ribosomal RNA". It matches the Rfam family "Bacterial large subunit ribosomal RNA", at positions 1819 to 2600 of the family's 2925-position model. Lineage: Eukaryota; Metazoa; Chordata; Amphibia; Anura; Bufonidae. The record is from RNAcentral.